Spinacia oleracea (spinach) is the source of this 324-nucleotide long non-coding RNA. RefSeq lists it as uncharacterized. The record is from RefSeq and is a predicted model, not a curated record. The transcript has 3 exons. NCBI's taxonomy places the organism in Eukaryota, Viridiplantae, Streptophyta, Magnoliopsida, Caryophyllales, Amaranthaceae.
CAAAGCCCUCCUCUUGUUCCUUCUCUCUGUUUCACGUGAACUCAAACCUCAUCCCCCACACUGCCGUUUUCUGUCCUCCCUUCACGACCGUCGCUAGCCAGCCGCCGGACCUACAUCAACCGUCGUCGCCGAAUCCUCCGCGAACUUGCUGCCGCCGAGCAUCCUGCCGCCGUCAGCGCAACCCUGACUGCCGGCCACCGCACGCCACCACCAACGUGUGCCGCCGCCCUUACUUGCAGCCACCUUUGCGACCACCUGCUGCCGCGACUCAACCGCCGGCCGCCCAAACUCUCCCUCUUUUCUUGGUUAUUUCUUAAACCCUAA